UGGGGAAUAUUGCACAAUGGGCGCAAGCCUGAUGCAGCCAUGCCGCGUGUAUGAAGAAGGCCUUCGGGUUGUAAAGUACUUUCAGCGAGGAGGAGGCGUUGUGGUUAAUAACCGCAGCGAUUGACGUUACUCGCAGAAGAAGCACCGGCUAACUCCGUGCCAGCAGCCGCGGUAAUACGGAGGGUGCAAGCGGUAAUCGGAAUUACUGGGUGUAAAGCGCACGCAGGCGGUCUGUCAAGUCGGAUGUGAAAUCCCCGGGCUCAACCUGGGAACUGCAUCCGAAACUGGCAGGCUAGAGUCUUGUAGAGGGGGGUAGAAUUCCAGGUGUAGCGGUGAAAUGCGUAGAGAUCUGGAGGAAUACCGGUGGCGAAGGCGGCCCCCUGGACAAAGACUGACGCUCAGGUGCGAAAGCGUGGGGAGCAAACA
Molecule: ribosomal RNA, 426 nt
Filed under: uncultured bacterium
Lineage: Bacteria
Description: partial 16S ribosomal RNA
Rfam family: Bacterial small subunit ribosomal RNA
Source: RNAcentral